CACUGGUGUCCAGCAACAGGGAUCCACUGCUGAGCGUAAGUAAAAAAUGCUUUAACUGUACACAUUUUCUUUACCGGCAUACUAGUUUAUGUAACAGGCAGGGCCAGGUCAACCGCUAAGCAAACUAGGUGUCUGCCUAGGAUGCACUGGCCAGGGGGCUCAAUGUCUGGGUGACCAGCAGGGGUGGAGGGGUAUAGAAUUCAUCGCUCCUCUCCUUCUGUUCACUUUAUGUACUGUGGCUGAGUGGACCACGUGUGAUGUUCUCUACCAUCUACUUGGCCUGACAGGAAGCUGAGUGCAACGAUCAGCUUCCUGUCACGCAGAAGAAACAGGAGAUUCUCUACCUGGGGAUGCUCGGCCACGAUACAUGUAGUGAGAUUAGAAGGAAAGGAAGGUGGGCACAAAGACAUGCGUUUAGAGGUCACAAAGAGACAGAGAAAGGGCUAGGGGGGGACAAAGAUGCAUAACUAUACUUAGACAUAAUAAUAAAUUAAUAGCAUGACUGCAUAUAUCUUAUUUCCAAGUUUAAAUAAUAUUGUUGUACAGAUAAUAGUAAGCAUUGCAACAUAUGACACAUGCUAACAAUGUUCCUUUUCUGUUCUCCCCUAUAGGUUCUGAUUGUACUAUCCCCCUGCAAGAGGAGGGUACCAUUACCCUAACAGCAGUGGAUCCUGAUUCAGUGACAUCAGUGGCCGAAGAAAUGCAGUUGCCACAACUUCCUCCACUGUUGGCUACGCUGUAUGCGACGAUCCAGGCUCUUCAAGCUGAACUGGAGAUGUCCAUACAGCAGGAUAGGGAGAAUCAGCGAGAACUAUUGCAGAAUGUAAU
Non-coding RNA from Pelobates cultripes (western spadefoot toad), 828 nucleotides. The record is from the annotation of a GenBank genome assembly. NCBI's taxonomy places the organism in Eukaryota, Metazoa, Chordata, Amphibia, Anura, Pelobatidae.